UCCAGACUCCUACGGGAGGCAGCAGUGGGGGAUAUUGCACAAUGGGGGGAACCCUGAUGCAGCGACGCCGCGUGGGUGAAGGAGCGUUUCGGCGCGUAAAGCCCUCUCGGCAGGGAAGAAGGAGGACGGUACCUGACUAAGGAGCCCCGGCUAACUACGUGCCAGCAGCCGCGGUAAUACGUAGGGGGCAAGCGUUAUCCGGAUUUACUGGGUGUAAAGGGGGCGCAGACGGCAGCGCAAGCCAGGAGUGAAAGCCCGGGGCCCAACCCCGGGACUGCUCUUGGAACUGCGCGGCUGGAGUGCAGGAGGGGCAGGCGGAAUUCCUGGUGUAGCGGUGAAAUGCGUAGAUAUCAGGAGGAACACCGGUGGCGAAGGCGGCCUGCUGGACUGCGACUGACGUUGAGGCCCGAAAGCGUGGGGAGCAAACAGGAUUAGAUACCCGCGUAAG
This 448-nucleotide ribosomal RNA is filed under the name uncultured bacterium. RNAcentral's name for it is "bacterial SSU rRNA". It matches the Rfam family "Bacterial small subunit ribosomal RNA", at positions 330 to 793 of the family's 1533-position model. The record is from RNAcentral.